This is a long non-coding RNA of Nyctereutes procyonoides (raccoon dog), 2621 nucleotides long. RefSeq lists it as uncharacterized. The record is from RefSeq and is a predicted model, not a curated record. The transcript has 2 exons. Lineage: Eukaryota; Metazoa; Chordata; Mammalia; Carnivora; Canidae.
UUUGCUUUUCUUUAGUAAUCUUUGUAAUACGGUUUUAUGGUUACAGACAUUCCUCUCUUUAGUCAUUGGAAAAUAUCCUCUUUUCUGGUUCAUUUUUGUUUCAAGAUGGCUAUAAAAACUGAGCCUUAAAUUAUAGUAAAGAGAAUAAAAACUGUUUUAUCCUGCCUGAUAUUUUAUAAGGCAUACUCUUAGAUAAAUAACUUAAGAAAAUGGCAGAUCAUCCUCCCCCUCAGACAUUUGUUCCUAGUUCUCCCUACGCCAUCAAACCAAAAAUACAAGCACACUACCUGGAACUAGAAUAGGUAGGUAUUUGUUGAGUGAAUGAAUUUACUUUACCAGUUAGCAUAAUCUUUAUAUUUCAUAAUCCUAUUUUAUCGUGUAUCAUUAUGGAUAAUAACAUGGCAGGGACUGUCAUGUUGCUCCUGGCUGGACGAGAGUAGCCUAAGAGAUAGUUUGUUAGAAUGAUGCUUUUAAGUGAUAUCCUUAAUCACUGUCUAUAGAAUGUGUAUUCUCUGCAGUGAUAACUUGUGCCGCCUCACCUGGACUCCUCUUGUGUCCGUAGUAUGCCUUUGUAAUACAGCUUCUGUAGUAUUCAUGGCCAUGGAACAGAGUAAAAGUGACUCACUUUGUUGGCAGGUGUGUGCAAGCUGGAGGCUGAGCAAUUUAAAGUUCAUGUCAAAAUUGAGAAGGAAGGUAAAGAGAUCUGCUUCCUGCCCCCACAACAUGCAGAGCUUCCCCCAUCAUUGACCUUCCCCACCAGGGUCACAUAUCUGUUACAACUGCUGAACCUACAUUGACAUCCAUCACAUUUCGAGUGAAAUUCACGUUUGCUUCCGUGGCCAAAGAGUCCUGAAAUGACUUGAUUUCUGACUGGUUCUCCAGCUCAGUUUGUUUCCACUUGCCCUUGGCUAACUGUACUUCAGAUCACAGGCCUUCUGUCCAUUCCUAGAAUGGCCAAGCUGUUUUCUAUGGUGGAACAGCUCUGCUGGUACCCUGAUGACCUUGUGUUUAUCCACUUAGGUCAGACUUUGUUCAGGGUGACCCGAGCCUUAGAAUGAAUGCCCUGUGAUGUUCCUGGAACACGAGGAUAUGGGACAUGUAGGGAUGACCAUGUGCCACUUCAUGUUUGCCUCCCUGUCUUCCAAGGAGGACAUGUGAGACAGUUUGUCAUUGCCUCUGGAUUUUGAUGAAGUAUGAGACUUUCCACUCUGAGGCUUUUUACGGUGUAGCCGGAGGCCACAAGUUGCUUCGCUGCAACAUGGAAUCAGCAUCUUGGCACCAGGGUGCCCUGCUCCUUAUGUUGCAUUAUCCCCUAUCUUUCAUCUUUCAUGCCUUCUCCUUUUUGUGUCUUCCCUUGGGACAAGACUCAUGGAGAGCUGGCAGUUUGCCUUUCUUUUGCUAUCUCUCUAGGUAAUGAUUGUCUGACUCCAACAAGGGUCUGCUGUUUCUUUAGUAAUUGAAUCUUGCUUGCUACUUCCACUGAGGAUGUUGGUUACUCUUCCUUCUGCCUGCAUUGCCCUUUCCUUGAGUUAAGGUGUACCUCUUAAUUAAUGCACCUCUUGGGUUGGCCAGCCAAUGUUGGCUUUAACAUAAUAUGAAUAUGUUCAGACCCUGCUUAACCCAGACUAUUAUAAAAUCUUAAGAACUCAAGCUUUUUUGAAUGUUGCAAAUAAAUACCUGCAGAAAUCCUGAUAAAUUAGGCAAAGAGUACAGAAACCACAACAAAAGUUUAGGUCACUUGUUUAAUAUACAAAGUCUUUCACAGAUAAUUAUUUUCCUUAAUUUGUCUUAGUACACAUUAUUCACAAAACAAUAAGUUGUUAAUGCAAGAGAAUUAGGUAAAACCAAAAAAGUACAAAUGCUCAAUCUCAAAAAUUGCACACAGUUAAAAUCUUUUUUUUUUUUUUUUUUUUUAAAUAUGAUCUCCAAUUUCAAAAUGGGCUUUCUUCAGAUUUGGAGGAAACACUGCAGCCCAAAUAACAGUACUUCCUUUGAGCUGUAUUGAUAUGUAAAAUAGCACCUUUGGGCUGAGUUAAGGAAAGGAAAAAGGUUUUUCAUCUUUCUUAUUAAUUAAAGUAUGAGUCCUAUACAUUUAUUACAUAACAAUUACAAUAAUGGUAAUAAGUUUAAAGAGCUCUACUUUGUUCCAGAAUAUUCAAAGGUAAGGUAAGGAAAGGUAAACUGUCAGGUGAAAGAAUGCAGUAAUCUUCCCCACCUCACCCCCUUGACAAUUAGAGUAUCUUAACGAUGCCAUUGCUCUAAUGAGCUAAUUUUCCAGCCAAAUAGUAGGUGUUUUAGGGGUACCUAAGGACUUCUUGGAAAACAGGAUAAAUGUGGCUGUCUGGGACAGUAUAAUCACAUGUAAUAGCAGCUCCGAGUGAGAUUUCAUCUUGGGGCAUUUUGAAAGACUCCUUUAAUAAAUACUUGUUUUCAGUUUCUCCAUUGCUGUAUCCCAGGUUGAUUGGAUCAUUUUUGUUUUGAUUUUUUGUUUGUUUUGCUUGUGUUUGUUCUUAAGCGUCAUUGCUUUCUGGACUUCACUUUAAGAAAAAAAAUACUGGGAUUUCAUUCCUUUACAAUUCAGUCUUUGACACAAUAAAAGUGAGAGUUCUUUGAAAAAUUAA